UGAACGCUGGCGGUAUGCUUAACACAUGCAAGUCGAACGGUAACAGCAAGAGCUUGCUCUUGGCUGACGAGUGGCGGACGGGUGAGUAACGCGUGGGAAUCUGCCUAGUAGUUGGGGACAACCUGGUGAAAACCAGGCUAAUACCGAAUGUGGUCUACGGACUAAAGCAGGGGAUCUUCGGACCUUGCGCUACUAGAUGAGCCCGCGUUAGAUUAGCUAGUUGGUGAGGUAAUGGCUCACCAAGGCGACGAUCUAUAGCUGGUCUGAGAGGACGAUCAGCCACACUGGGACUGAGACACGGCCCAGACUCCUACGGGAGGCAGCAGUGGGGAAUAUUGGACAAUGGGCGCAAGCCUGAUCCAGCAAUACCGCGUGUGUGAAGAAGGCCUGAGGGUUGUAAAGCACUUUCAAUUGUGAAGAAAGGUUGUGGAUUAAUACUCUACAAUUUUGACGUUAACUUUAGAAGAAGCACCGGCUAACCCU
RNAcentral lists this ribosomal RNA (483 nucleotides) under uncultured bacterium. RNAcentral's name for it is "bacterial SSU rRNA". It matches the Rfam family "Bacterial small subunit ribosomal RNA", at positions 30 to 504 of the family's 1533-position model. The record is from RNAcentral.